Molecule: unclassified non-coding RNA, 344 nt
Filed under: Hevea brasiliensis (rubber tree)
Lineage: Eukaryota; Viridiplantae; Streptophyta; Magnoliopsida; Malpighiales; Euphorbiaceae
Source: RNAcentral
AUUUAACAGACCUUAAUCAUAAUGAAAAUCCUUUGACCAAUCACGAUUGUAUUUGUCACCAUUUAUGGGCAAGGACCAAAUGUACAAAAAUAUUCCCUGGAAUUGAUACACAUGUCCUCAAGUACAUUUAAUUGUCAAUUUUCCAUUAGACAUUAAAUUUGGGCUCAGGUAUGUUAAAUUGCCAAUACAUAUUAAAAUUUGGUCCCCUUCAAGAAAAUGCUGAUAAUUACAAGCAAAACAACCCAAAAAUGAUUGCAGAUAGAAUUUUAAUGGACAGAGCUGAAUAUGAAAGUUACACUAAGAGAGAAGAAUGAGAAAAUCAGGAAAGAAGAAGAAGAAGAAGA